This is a long non-coding RNA of Drosophila mojavensis, 620 nucleotides long. RefSeq lists it as uncharacterized. The record is from RefSeq and is a predicted model, not a curated record. Lineage: Eukaryota; Metazoa; Arthropoda; Insecta; Diptera; Drosophilidae. The transcript is spliced from 2 exons.
UUCUGGAAAUCUUUAGAGCGAAUUCGAAAACGGUUUAUUUAUAAUUUUAAUUAGUCGAUUCUUAUGGAAAUAUCAAUGUAUGUACAUGGCAUAUGCAUAUGUAUGUGUAUGCAUGUGUGUGUAUAUAUUCUAGUCAGAAAUCGUUAAUGUCUGGGGCGUGCUACAAAUUCGGAUACAUUGUGCGCCAGAGGGUGGCCCAUUCAAGCCCACCCAAUUGGCUUUUGUCUCAAGUUUGCUUUCGAUAAUCUUUUUAUGGUUACACACCAAUUGGCAAUGGCCGUGGCAGUGGCAGCCGCGGGGGCAGAGGCGCCGCCAGAGACAGAUAAGAGUGUUGACGCCGGGCAAUAAAACCACCAAAAAUUAACGGACAAAGCAAAGUGGCUACAGUACUAAAUACAAACAUACGCACACACAAACACACACAUACAUCUGUUCAUAGAUAGCAAUUCGUGCGCAAUAAAAACAACAAAAAUGCAAAGGCAAGAGGCGCUAGAGGGAGACAGCUUGCAUUUGAAACAGAGCGCACAGAGGAGAUCCCAACUUACUUAAGCAUUAAAAAAACAAAGAUACCCAGCUGCGUCGAGUUUCCAAGAAGCAUUUAUGUAAGUGCUGAAUGUAGG